This 365-nucleotide unclassified non-coding RNA is filed under the name Hevea brasiliensis (rubber tree). The record is from RNAcentral. Lineage: Eukaryota; Viridiplantae; Streptophyta; Magnoliopsida; Malpighiales; Euphorbiaceae.
AGUCUGUUGAGGCUGAUAGCAUAAAGAAGCUAGUGGCAGAUAUUCAAAGGCUUUCUAAUGCUAGAAUGUUUGCCAUUGGAAUGCGUAAGCUCCUUGGAGUAAAAUUGGAUGAGAAAUCAGAUGAAAAUAGUGCAAACUCUGAUAUUAAAGUGCCAUUUGGAGGUAAAAGUGGUGUUGAGGCAGCUGAUAAGUUAUCAGAGCAGGUGAGGAGGGCAUUUAAAAUAGAAGCAGUUGGACUAAUGAGUUUGUGGUUCACUUUUGGCUCUGGUGUGCUUGCUCGCUUUGUCGUUGAGUGGCAAUCAGGUAAAGAGGGAUGCACAAUACAUGUUUCUCCUGACCAACUAUGGUCGCAAACUAAGUUUUUG